CAGCCGCCACGGUAAAACGAAGGGUGCAAGCGUUAAUCGGAAUUACUGGGCGUAAAGCGUGCGUAGGCGGUUUGUUAAGUCUGUUGUGAAAUCCCCGGGCUCAACCUGGGAAUGGCAAUGGAUACUGGCAAGCUAGAGUGUGUCAGAGGAUGGUGGAAUUCCCGGUGUAGCGGUGAAAUGCGUAGAGAUCGGGAGGAACACCAGUGGCGAAGGCGGCUUACUGGCUCAUACUGGACGCUGAGGUGCGAAAGCGUGGGGAGCAAACAGGAUUAGAUACCCCCGUAGUCCCUGUCUCUUAUAC
Molecule: ribosomal RNA, 301 nt
Filed under: uncultured bacterium
Lineage: Bacteria
Description: partial 16S ribosomal RNA
Rfam family: Bacterial small subunit ribosomal RNA
Source: RNAcentral